Molecule: ribosomal RNA, 253 nt
Filed under: uncultured bacterium
Lineage: Bacteria
Description: partial 16S ribosomal RNA
Rfam family: Bacterial small subunit ribosomal RNA
Source: RNAcentral
UACGUAGGGUGCAAGCGUUGUCCGGAAUUAUUGGGCGUAAAGAGCUCGUAGGCGGUUUGUCGCGUCUGCUGUGAAAACUCGGGGCUUAGCUCCGGGCCUGCAGUGGGUACGGGCAGACUAGAGUGCGGUAGGGGAGACUGGAAUUCCUGGUGUAGCGGUGAAAUGCGCAGAUAUCAGGAGGAACACCGGUGGCGAAGGCGGGUCUCUGGGCCGUAACUGACGCUGAGGAGCGAAAGCGUGGGGAGCGAACAGG